This 67-nucleotide transfer RNA is filed under the name Semirossia patagonica (Patagonian bobtail squid). RNAcentral describes it as "tRNA-Glu". Lineage: Eukaryota; Metazoa; Mollusca; Cephalopoda; Sepiida; Sepiolidae. The record is from RNAcentral.
GUUCUUAUAGUGUAAUAUUGCACAUUAGAUUUUCAAUUUUUUAGAACAUAUUAGUAUGUUAAGAAUA